This is a small nucleolar RNA of Grammomys surdaster, 126 nucleotides long. RefSeq annotates it as small nucleolar RNA SNORA17. The transcript has a single exon. NCBI's taxonomy places the organism in Eukaryota, Metazoa, Chordata, Mammalia, Rodentia, Muridae. The record is from RefSeq and is a predicted model, not a curated record.
CCUACCCCUAUAGGCUUUGUUGUGGCUUGUGUUGUAUUGCAUCAGUAGUUGGCAUAGAGGAGAGAGGCUAUGUCUACACCUUGUGUUCUGACCUAUGAACAUCUGAGUGAUUUGUAGCUUAAUAUU